AACAAAACCGCCAUAUAUUACAGUGAUUUUAUAGU
RNAcentral lists this non-coding RNA (35 nucleotides) under Trypanosoma brucei brucei. The record is from RNAcentral. Lineage: Eukaryota; Euglenozoa; Kinetoplastea; Trypanosomatida; Trypanosomatidae.